RNAcentral lists this long non-coding RNA (5989 nucleotides) under Nicotiana tabacum (common tobacco). Its description in RNAcentral is "long non-coding RNA (NTAB_LNC011715)". Lineage: Eukaryota; Viridiplantae; Streptophyta; Magnoliopsida; Solanales; Solanaceae. The record is from RNAcentral.
GAAAAUCUGGCCCCAAGCUUCCUUCUCAUACAUUCUAUAUAAGGAGAAAACCUAGAACUUAAGGGGGGGAGCCGCCACUCACUGCUUCUUUUUCCUUAGGUGAUAUUAUUUUUCCUCCUCACUAAACCUCCUCGAGUCAUUGAAAAUCAGUCAUACAAUUAUCGCAAACCCACCCCGAAACAAAUGUAAUUCCACUAGUUCGUCGCUACUGCUUUAGUUGUACAACCACCAGCGAAACACCACCCAAAACAGUCCCUUUUCUCUGUUAAAACCUAGUUGGAAAAUGCAGCAAAAACCCCCCCUUUAAAACAAUCGUAGUUCUUCCUCAAAGCAGCGUGCAAUUGGGUUGAGUCGGGUUUGAGUUCAUGACGAGAUUCCGUUCAUGGUUCCGGCGAGGUCUUCCAUCACGGAUCUAUCACGUGUUGUAGUAGCUGUUAUUCCAAAUUUUAUAAAGGAUCUCUAUAUAUUGCAAGUCUAAAUUGCUAAGCUCAAGGUCCAUUUCUACUUUAGAUCUUUAUUUCGUGCAUAGCUUGAUGUUUAAUGUUGCUGAGCUUAUAUUACUUGCGCACUGUUUAUAUAUUUAUGUGGUGAUUCGUUCUUAGUUUGAGAAUUAUUGUGAUGUUAUGCUGAUUUUCAGUUUCUCUCGUUAGCUUUGCAACUGCAUUUUAGUAUAACAAUUGUGGCUUAGAGUUAAUUCGUAUGUUUCAAGUUAUUUACUAAACGGAUCAGUUGAAUAGGAUUUUAUUAGAAUUAGGGAAUGAAGAUUCAAUGUGAUAUUUAUGGCAGUCUUACAAAAUUGAAGUGGGUCCUCGGCUUUUGACUUUUAAUGGUUAUUGAGUUUAGGCUGAUUUGACAGACUCGCUUGCGUAGCGUGAUAUUUAAUAUUUAAUAAAUUAAUUUUAUAAUCUCCAUAGCUUAAUUAUUUACUAAUUUAAUUAAUCUCUUGUUCUAAUCGCGAAUUCGCUUGCGUAACGCGAUAGUGGCAUUUAAUAAUUUCCUUAAUCACAAAUUUAGUAAUUUCUCAAAAGUACUAUAAUUAUUUGAUUGUCAUGAUUCCAGAUUCGCUUGCGAUGCGCGAUUAUGAUAAGUUAAUUAAUUUUAUUUUUGAUCACGCAUUCGCUUGCGUAGCGUGGUCAUGAGAACGUAAUAUUCUCCAAAUUAUUCUUUAGUAGUUCUAACAAUCACGCAAUAAAAGCGGACAUAGGAAAAAAUUGAAAAUCAUAUAAAAAACAGUUUGUCCAAAAUUUAUUCAAGCCAAGUAUAAGUCAAUAAAAGUGACCAUGCUAGAACCACGGGACUUGGAGAAUGCCUUACACCUUCUCCCCGGUCAACAAAAUUCCUUAUCCGGACUUUGUUUUCGCAGACCAAUAUUAAAAGAGUCAAACCUUCAUUUGACUAGGGAUUCAAAUAAAAGAGGACUUGGGACACCGACAAAUUAAUUUCAAGUGGUGACUCUGUAAAUAAAAUAAUCCCUACUCAAGCUUGUCACUUUAAUUGGAAAAACUCUUUAACCCAGAAUCCAUAACAUACAUUAUCUUUUGGAGUUGGAAGCCCGUGGAACAAUUCAUCGCAUUUUGGCAAAAUUAGAAAGUUGAUGUGUUCUAAUUAUAUUAUUUUGUGUGCGGAUGAGGACUAUUAAUAUGAUGGAUAUCAAUUGGAUGUGAUAACAAGUGUACGAGACAUAUUAUAAGUGAUGUGGGGUCUAAGGAGAGGCCUAAGUCUAAGUCAAGUUGGAAAUUUUAUGAUAGGCUAAAGUUUCAAAUGAGUACGCAUAAGACCAAAUUUUGGACGAACAUAUAUACAUAUAUAUAAGGAGUUAUGUGAUGGACAACUCAUAAAAUGAAAGAUCUUCGAGUAUACUUUCUAACUCUUCAAACCGUUCAUCAUUUGGACAUUCUUAUAAGAAGUUAUGACCAAAUUACCAAAAGCUAGUAGAAACACUACCGCGCCGUCCCACGCGGCGCGCCUGUGGAAAAUUCUAGAACGCUCCAAAAUUUCAUUUCCAUAUACUUUUUGCACAGCCGCAACGUGCCGCGGAUGUACAAAAAUGGGUUUUUAUUACUCGAACCCCAUUUUAUUUUACUCGAUUGGGCUUUAUUUUUUGGGUAAUUUUUGGUGUUUUAGAGAGAAGGGAGAGCGAUUCUAGAGAGAGGAAAGGGGAGAACUAUAGAUUUCACUACUCUUCUUGAAUCAAACCUUGAAAACGCAUUAAAGGGUUACUAGAGCUUCAAAGAGGUAAGAAUUUCUUUCCCCAAUUCUUCAAUUUCAAAAUCUAACUAGAAAUGGGUAAUUAGUAAGAUGAUUCUUGGAUGUGAGAGUAUUAGUUAUACAUGCUUGUACCAAUAAGGUUGUGGGGAGAUUUUUAAGUUCAAAUGGGUAAACAUUGGGUUGAAAAAUGGUAGAAAUCUUCAAAGACUUUAAUUGAAGAUUUGAAGGGCAAUCCGAUGUCAGAAUUUAAUAAUUUUUAUAUGGUUGAACUCGUAUUGGAACGGGUGUUUGGAUUUCAUGAGUUUUUUUGAGAUUCGAAAUGUGGGUCCCACUAUCAAUUUUUAAAAUGAAUUUCGAAUUUUAAUACGGAAUAUUAGUAAUUUCAUAUGAAAUUAAUUCCUACAAUUCGUAUUGAGUAUAUUGAAUUGUCUGUGACUAGAUUUGAAGCAUUCGUACUCGAAUUCGCGAGGCAAAGGUUUAUUGGAAUCUUGAAUUUGGUUGCGAAGCGAGGUAAGUAUCUUGCCUAACCUUGAGUAGGGGAAUUACCCCUUAGACAUUGAGUCUUAUGUGGAAAUUAUAUAAUUGAAAAUCAUGUACGCGAGGUAACGAGUACGUACUUGGUUUAUAUGUGCAAAUUAUAUCGGUUGAAAUUUGUAUACGCCUUUAAGUAUUAAAUUGGAAAAUUAUUGGAACUUAGUAAAUCCUUGGAUUUGUCAUGCCCCAUUCCUUGUUUGCCAAGUUUGUAUUUUAUAUGAUAAUUUGGUGUAAUUGCCACUUGAAUUUUUAUGUGAAUUCUUGUUGAUUUGAUAUUUUCUUGGAAUUAAAUUCAUUAUGGAUUUCUUAUAUGUAAGUAAUCAUUAAAUAAGUCUAAAAGGAGGCGUUAGCAUAAUUAUCUAAAAAUUGGAUUAAAGAAGGCGUUGUCCUAUGUUGAGUUACUUUUCCAUCUCUGUUGUUGUGUUGAAGUUUAUAUUUGUUGUGUGGAGCCUUGGGCUAUUUGUUGAGAAAUUUAUUGAUUUUGUUAUAUCUUUGGAAUUGGUUGUGGCUUAUGGGCAAAAUCGUGGUAUGAAUUAUUGUAUUGUGUUGUCGUGAUAAUAUUUUGUGUAAAUUGUAGUAUGAUUGGAGUUAUUAUUCUGAGGAAAUAAGGGUGGCAUUCCACUGUUGACAUUAUGUAGGUAUAAGGGUGGCAUUUUACUGUGCUUAUGUGUGUUGGGAUACUGGCUGGGCGGAGUGAUAAGUGUGGCAACAGGAGCGAUAAGGGCGGCUAUAGGAGCGAUAAGGGUGGCUGUUGAUAUUCAAGAGCGGAGGGAUAAUGGUGGCUACUAUUAUGGAGUGAUACAGGUGGCUACAGGAGAGAUAAGAGUGGCUAGUGUCAGGGAUGAUAUGUUAUGAUGUGGGAUUAUUGUGUUGAUAAUUUUUAUGUGUUGUUGUGAUUUUCCUUGUGGUUAACCUUAUAUUUUGUGUAACUUGUCUUGUUGUUUCUGUAAACUUGAUAAUAGCCUGAUCUAUGUUGAAAUUGUGAGCAUGUGGCUAUUGCUGGGCAUAUAAUAUUAUAUGGGAUUGGGUUGCACGCUGCAACAGAGAUGAUAUGUGGGCACGAGGUGCCGAAAAAAUAUGAUGGUUUUUAUUAUUGGUACGUGAACUGUGCAUGCAGAUGUGAUAUGAAAUGUGGGCACGUGGUGCCGGGAAAAAAUAUGAUAUUUUUUAUUAUUGGCACGUGAACUGUCCGUGCAGAUGUGAUAUGAAAUGUGGGCACGAGGUGCCGAGAAAAAUAUGAUGGUUUUAAUUAUUGGCACGUGAAAUGUCCGUACAAAUGUGAUAUGAAAUGUGGGUACUAGGUGCCGAGGAAAAUAUGAUGAUUUAAUUAUGCGCACGAAGUGCCGUGGAAAUAUGAAAGUGGGCUGAGACCCGUGUUAUGAAAAAUAUGAAAGUGGGCUGAGACCCGUAUUUUAUGAUUAUGAAAUGUGGUGUCAUAGGGUGACUUUUAUUUGAAAGAAUUUUAUUCAAAAUAUUUAUUUGGAAGGAUUUUAUUCAAAAUAUUAUUUGAAAGAAUUGUAUUCGAAAGAUAUUUAUUUGAAAGAAUUAUAUUUGAAGGAUAUUUGUUUGAAAGAAGUAUAUUCGAAAUACAUUUGUUGGAAAGGAUUAUGUUCUAGAGAUUUCCAUUGAAAGCUUAUAGAUGAAAGAUGUAUAUUUUGAAGGACUUGAUUAUUGAAUGUACUUGUGUUCAUUAUCUAUUUGAGCAAUAUUUAAGGAGUUCUUGUUGCCUUGUUGUUUAUAUCACUAGUUGAUUUUGUUGCUAUCUGUGAUGACCCAAAAGGUCAUCUUAUAUUUUAGAACUUGAAUCUGCACUCUUAAGCCUUAAACAAAUCUCAUUUUUACCUUCCUCGAUUUGCGUACACAGUCCAAGCACGUUUUCGAAAAGCUUUUAUGUUGAAAACUAAUAAAAAUAAGAAUGUUUGUCUUAAAAGUUGAUUUUAGUUGACUUUGGUCAAUAUUUUUAGUAAACGGGCCCGGAUCCGUAAUUUGACGGUCUUAGUAGGUCCGUAUCAAAUUAUGGGACCUGGGCGUAUGCCCGAAAUCGAAUUCGGAGGUCCCUACCUUGAGUUAUGAAUUUUUGAUGAAAAUUAAAAGUUUGGAAAUUAUUUAUUUUUAAGAAUUCAUUGAUAUUUGGCAUUGUUAGUAUCGGGUCCGUAUUGUAGUUCCGGAGCCCGGUACAGGUUCAUUAUGAUAUUUAAGACCUGUCUGUGAAAUUUGGUGAGAAACGGAGUUGAUUUGACAUGAUUCGGACGUUCAGUUAAGAAAAUAGAAAUUUUUAAAGUGUUUUUGAGAAUUUCAUUUGAUUUGAUACUAAAUUUGUAGUUCUAGGUGUUAUUUUGGAAAUUCGAUCGCGCGAGCAAGUUUGUAUGAUAUUUUUAGACUUGUGUGCAUGUUUGGUUUGGAGCCCCGAGGGCUCGGGUGAGUUUUGGAUAGGCUACGGAAUGAGAUUUGGCUUGGAAAACACUGCUGGUGCAUCUGAUAUUAUUGCAGGCCUCUGAUCUCGCAUUUGCAAGAUCAGGCAUCGCAAUUGCAACCUCUGAGAGGUUCGCAUUUGCGAGCUUCUCAUCGCAAAUGCGAAGAGAAGCUAGGUCAAUAGUUUUCGCAUUUGCGAAGGGAGUCGGGGAAGGGCAGUGAUCGCAAAUGCGAUCAUUUAGUCGCAUUUGCGAAGAUUCAAAGGUCGCAUUUGCGAACUUAUCUUCGCAUUUGCGAAGGCAGCAGAAGUGUGAAGGGCUUCGCAUUUGCGAAGCUCAGGUCGCAAAUGCGACAUCUGCAACUGAUCAAAAUAACUUUUGGACGGGAAUUUUUAUUCAUUUCCCAAAUUUCCAAGACCUAAAAAACAAGAGGCGAUUUUACAAAGAUCAUUUCUUCCCCAAAUCAUAGGUAAGUGAUUCUAAACUGGUUUCUUUUAAUCUUUCACUACAUUUUGCAAGAUUUCAACCUAAAAUCUAAGGUUUUCAUGGUAGAAUUAGGGGUUUUGGGUAGAAACUAGGGAUUUCGGAAAUUUGGGGAUUUAGACCUCAAUUUGAGGUCGGAUUCCAAAACCAAUUAUAUAUUCGUGCUCGGGGGUGAAUGGGUAAAUAGAUUUUGGUCCGAACCUCGGGUUUUGACCAAGCGGGCCCAGGGUCGAUUUUUGACUUUUUGGAGGAAAAUUUGGAAAAUCUAAAUUUAUGCAAUGUAAUUGAUUCCUUUAGCUAUAUUUGAUAUUAUUGAGUCAUUUUUGAAUAGAUACGAGUAUUUGGAGGUGAAU